RNAcentral lists this ribosomal RNA (3185 nucleotides) under Drosophila persimilis. RNAcentral's name for it is "eukaryotic LSU rRNA". The stretch from base 1 to 2588 matches the Rfam family "Eukaryotic large subunit ribosomal RNA". The record is from RNAcentral. Lineage: Eukaryota; Metazoa; Arthropoda; Insecta; Diptera; Drosophilidae.
UUAAGCAUAUUAAUUAGGGGAGGAAAAUAAACUAACCAGGAUUUUCUUAGUAGCGGCGAGCGAAAAGAAAUCAGUUCAGCACUAAGUCACUUUGUCUAUAUGGCAAACGUGAGAUGCAGUGUAUGGAGCGUCAAUAUUCUAGUAUGAGAAAUUAACGAUUUAAGUCCUUCUUAAAUGAGGCCAUUUACCCAUAGAGGGUGCCAGGCCCGUAUAACGUUAAUGGUUACUAGAUGAUGUUUCCAAAGAGUCGUGUUGCUUGAUAGUGCAGCACUAAGUGGGUGGUAAACUCCAUCUAAAACUAAAUAUAACCAUGAGACCGAUAGUAAACAAGUACCGUGAGGGAAAGUUGAAAAGAACUCUGAAUAGAGAGUUAAACAGUACGUGAAACUGCUUAGAGGUUAAGCCCGAUGAACCUGAAUAUCCGUUAUGGAAAAUUCAUCAUUAAAGUUGUAAUAUUUUUUUCAUUUUCAUUUUUCCAUAUAAGGACAUUGUAAUCUAUUAGCAUAUAACAAAUUUAUCAUAAAAUAUGACUUAUAGUUUAUUCAAAUUAUUAUGCUUGCAUUUUAACAUGGAAUAAAUGUCAUUAAUUUGAUAAAGUGUUGAUAAAUUAAAAUUAAUACAGUGCGUUAAUUUUUCGAAAUUAUAUAAUGGCAUAACUAUCAUUGAUUUUUGUGUUUAUUAUAUGCAUUUGUAUGAUUAACAAUGCGAAAGAUUCAGGAUACCUUCGGGACCCGUCUUGAAACACGGAGAUAAACCUAAUAGCGUAAUUAACUUGACUAAUAAUGGGAUUAGUUUUUUUAACUAUUUAUAGAUAAUUAACCCAAUCCCGGGGUGUUAUGUAUUAUAAUAAUAUAUUUAUAAUAAUAAUAUAUUUAUAUUAUUUAUGCCUCUAACUGGAACGUACCUUGAGCAUAUAUGCUGUGACCCGAAAGAUGGUGAACUAUACUUGAUCAGGUUGAAGUCAGGGGAAACCCUGAUGGAAGACCGAAACAGUUCUGACGUGCAAAUCGAUUGUCAGAAUUGAGUAUAGGGGCGAAAGACCAAUCGAACCGAGGCCUUAGGGUCGAAACGAUCUUAACCUAUUCUCAAACUUUAAAUGGGUAAGAACCUUAACUUUCUUGAUAUGAAGUUUAAGGUUAUGAUAUAAUGUGCCCAGUGGGCCACUUUUGGUAAGCAGAACUGGCGCUGUGGGAUGAACCAAACGUAAUGUUACGGUGCCCAAAUUAACAACUCAUGCAGAAACCAUGAAAGGCGUUGGUUGCUUAAAACAGCAGGACGGUGAUCAUGGAAGUCGAAAUCCGCUAAGGAGUGUGUAACAACUCACCUGCCGAAGCAACUAGUCCUUAAAAUGGAUGGCGCUUAAGUUGUAUACCUAUACAUUACCGCUAAAGUAGAUGAUUUAUAUUACUUGUGAUAUAAAUUUUGAAACUUUAGUGAGUAGGAAUGUACAAUGGUAUGCGUAGAAGUGUUUGGCGUAAGCCUUCAUGGAGCUGCCAUUGGCACAGAUCUUGGUGGUAGUAGCAAAUAAUCGAAUGAGACCUUGGAGGACUGAAGUGGAGAAGGGUUUCGUGUGAACAGUGGUUGAUCACGAGUUAGUCGGUCCUAAGUUCAAGGCGAAAGCCGAAAUUUUUCAAGUAAAAAAUCAGUGAGUAAUAUUGUCAAAUCUUUUAUGAUUUUUAAAUACUUGAAUAAUUUUGAACGAAAGGGAAUACGGUUCCGUAACCUGUUGAGUAUCCGUUUGUUAUUCAAUUUGGGCCUCGUGCUCAUCAUGGCAACAGGAACGACCAUAAAGAAGCCGUCGAGAGAUAUCGGAAGAGUUUUCUUUUCUGUUUUAUAGCCGUACUACCAUGGAAGUCUUUCGCAGAGAGAUAUGGUAGAUGGGCUAGAAGAGCAUGACAUACACUGUUGUGUCGAAAUUUUCUCCUCGGACCUUGAAAAUUUAUCCGCAGCUGGUCUCCAAGGUGAAGAGUCUCUAGUCGAUAGAAUAAUGUAGGUAAGGGAAGUCGGCAAAUUAGAUCCGUAACUUCGGGAUAAGGAUUGGCUCUGAAGAUUGAGAUAGUCGGGCUUGAUUGGGAAACAAUAACAUGGUUUAUGUGCUCGUUCUGGGUAAAUAGAGUUUCUAUCAUUUAUGGUAGUUACUUGUUCCCCGGAUAGUUUAGUUACGUAGCCAAUUGUGGAACUUUCUUGCUAAAAUUUUAAAGAAUACUAAUUGGGUUAAACCAGUUAGUUCUUAUUAAUUAUAACGAUUAUCAAUUAACAAUCGGACGGGACUUGGGUAAUCCGACUGUCUAAUUAAAACAAAGCAUUGUGAUGGCCCUAGCGGGUGUUGACACAAUGUGAUUUCUGCCCAGUGCUCUGAAUGUCAAAGUGAAGAAAUUCAAGUAAGCGCGGGUCAACGGCGGGAGUAACUAUGACUCUCUUACGUGAAGCGGAACUUUUUCGUCCCCAACACGGCUGGGUGUCAGCCCACGCGUUUGCUAACAGGUCAAGAUUAUCGAAACGGUAUCAAGCUGCGAAUAAAUGCCCUACCAUCGAGGUCUCUUACCACGAGGGGCAGAAAUGAAUUGGAACGGCAAUGUCGUGCAGGUUGUGAUGCUCCCGAAACAACAAACCACAUCCUGCAAAAUUGUUACCGUACGCAUGGGAGGCGGGUAGCAAGACAUAACUGUGUAGUCAAUAACCUUCAGAGGAUUCUUGAGGAGAAGGGCCACACAGUGCACGUCGAACCAAGUUUGCAGCUGGAAACCUCGGUAAGUAAACCAGACCUGGUGUGUAUCCGUGACAAUCACGCUUGCGUGAUUGAUGCGCAGAUUAUAACAGAUGGACUGUUUCUCGACGAUGUGCACCAUCGCAAAGUUGAGAAAUAUAAAAGACCUGAAGAUAUUUCUGCACUGCGGAGAGAAUUCGGAGUGUCGGGCCACGUUGAAGUCCUAUCCGCGACGUUAAACUGGCGUGGGAUCUGGAGCAAUCAAUCCGUUAGAAGAUUGAUAGCAAAGGGUCUCAUCUCAUCCGGUGACAGCAAUGUCAUCAGCGCCAGAGUGGUAACAGGCGGACUAUAUUGCUUCAGACAGUUCAUGUAUCUCGCAGGUUACACGCGAGAUUGGACUUAGCCUAUACACUAUGUUGGAGAGAAGACGCUUGCUACCUAGGCAUAAUGUGAAAUUAGGUAUAAACAUCGUGGUUGU